RNAcentral lists this ribosomal RNA (253 nucleotides) under uncultured bacterium. RNAcentral's name for it is "partial 16S ribosomal RNA". It matches the Rfam family "Bacterial small subunit ribosomal RNA", at positions 524 to 776 of the family's 1533-position model. The record is from RNAcentral.
UACAGAGGUCUCAAGCGUUGUUCGGAUUCAUUGGGCGUAAAGGGUGCGUAGGCGGCGCGGUAAGUCGGGUGUGAAAUCUCGGAGCUUAACUCCGAAACUGCAUUCGAUACUGCCGUGCUUGGGGACUGGAGAGGAGACUGGAAUUUACGGUGUAGCAGUGAAAUGCGUAGAGAUCGUAAGGAAGACCAGUGGCGAAGGCGGGUCUCUGGACAGUUCCUGACACUGAGGCACGAAGGCCAGGGGAGCAAACGGG